Non-coding RNA from Pelobates cultripes (western spadefoot toad), 255 nucleotides. The record is from the annotation of a GenBank genome assembly. NCBI's taxonomy places the organism in Eukaryota, Metazoa, Chordata, Amphibia, Anura, Pelobatidae.
AUACUUGCAAAAACAGAAUAUUCAAGGAUAUAAUCUUUCAAUGUAGGGUAAUAACUGCUUGAUCCAAGGAUAAAUCUGACUGCCAUUCUGGGGUCAAGAAGGAAUUUUUUUCCUAGCUUGUUGCAAAAUUGUGCUUCAAACUGGGUUUUUUUUGCCUUCUUUUGGAUCAACAGCAAAAAGCAAAUGUGAGGAAGGCUGAACUUGAUGGACGCAAGUCUCUUUUCAGCUAUGUAACUAUGUAACUAUGUAACUAUG